This 1883-nucleotide long non-coding RNA is filed under the name Theobroma cacao (cacao). RNAcentral's name for it is "long non-coding RNA (TCAC_LNC001611)". Lineage: Eukaryota; Viridiplantae; Streptophyta; Magnoliopsida; Malvales; Malvaceae. The record is from RNAcentral.
CGUAAAUAAUUUUUGUAGCGUAAAAGCUAAAUAAAUUCAUACAUACUGUAAUACAGUAAGUCAGGGUAUGUAAUUUAAUUUACAAUAACAAGAGGGCCCCCCGAAUAAAUAAAAGUAAAGAGACUGUGAACCUACAGUUUGAAAAAUGCAGAUCUAACGGUAGUCUUUGAUGAGAUCAGCUAUCUACAGUCUAUACUGAACCUGAAAUGGAUGGAAAGGAGGGUGGUGAGAUUAUAAAAUCCCAAUGAGUAAACAGACAUUAUCAUAAACAUCUAGAGUUGAGUACAUGGAGACAAUAAAGUAAAUCAUCGUAAACUGGGUCACAGUAUUAGAACACAUUUCAUUCAAAUUAUGUAAAGAGGCUUAUGAAUCUCAUAAAAACUAGGCUUGUGCCAUAAAUCCAUUCUUAGGGACACCUUGGCCGAGGCAUCCUACCGAGACCGCCAAGGCUGUUAAAAAUUCACAUUUCGCAAAAAGCAUAUUUUUAUUUUGAAACAUAGCCAUUCCUUGGCGUUGGCUGAGUUUCCCCUCACGUGGUGAUUUGGCGUGAAGUGAACCCUAAGCUUUACCCCAGGAGAUACCCUACAUGCCUUUCCAUUCUAGGUAAGAAUAUAAUGGGGUUUACUAUGCCCCUCUAAAAGGCUGGUCCACAGAAACUCCCUACUGCAAUGAUUAAUUAAUAUAUAAUCCACCAUAUAAUAAAAUUUUGACGGCAUGACAGGGCUAAUGAAAUACUACCCAACUUGCAAAGGUAAAAUGAAACAAUUCAUACAAUUCAUAAAACACAGCCCAGCCAGUCAUGUUAACACAAUAACAAUAUAACAUAAGCCAUCAAUUUAAACAAUCAAAUUGCCACAAUUAACAGUCUCCAUGUACUCUAUUUUUCAAAAUCAUUAUUAAUUUCAAAACAAUUAUAAAUUAAUUUCAUUGGAACACCUUUAUUCAUAAAAUAUGAAAAUUUACCUUUUUAAAUCCAUUUUUCCAUAGAAUUCAUGAAAUCAUCUAAAAACCACCCUAGAUAAUUAAAAUGACAGUAAGUUUACUCACAAUGUCUAGAAUGCAGACUUUCGAAGUACUCUGUCUACUGGUCCUCAGAUGCAAUUUUCUUGCCUUUAUCGGAGGAUUCACCACCUUGACACAGUACAAAAUCGAGAAAUUCACCACAUUGAUACUAAAUUGAAAUUAAACUAAUUUAAACUACUAAUGCAUGAUAUGGAAUGCAAAAAUGUCCGAAUAGCCGUUUAAAUACGGUAUUCGACCUAAUUCGCACUAUUCUCUGUGUAAUUGGCUAAAACCUCCAAUUUAACUCCAAAUCGAUUUCUUUCACUUUCUACACUCCAAUUAUACUUAAAAUACCUCAAUGACUGUGAAUAUAAUUCAAUUUAUCAGUCCGAACCAUAAAUCGCACAUGUCUAUACAUUAGGUAAAAAUUCAGAUUUUCAUGCCAAAAUUUUCCAUUAAAUUUCUAGCCUCACCAAUCAUUAAAUACCACCAAAAUAUCAUGAAAUAUCAUCAAUUUCAGCCUCAAUAUCCUCCCUAGAAAAUUCGGCCUCUUGUGGGUUUGUGAAGAACAAAGUGAUUUCUUGCUAGAUUUUAAUACUUUCCAUUACUAAACAACCAAAAACACUUAAUUAACUUGAAAUCUAGCAAAAUCAAUGCUCAAAACCUCUCCUCUCAAAUUUGGCCAGCAUGGGUUCAUCAUGAAAGCUUGAGUUCUAAGCAUGCAAAAUGAAAAAGAAAGCAUGGGUAGUAUAAAUCACAAGAUAAAAUCACAAAAUUUUACCUUUAUUAGCUUAAUUCCUUGAAAUCUCACACUUUUUCUUCAAUUUUCCCACCUAGGUUUUGUUCUUUCUUUGUUCUUCUUCACUUCAUGCUUUGGCCAG